Molecule: non-coding RNA, 29 nt
Filed under: Mus musculus (house mouse)
Lineage: Eukaryota; Metazoa; Chordata; Mammalia; Rodentia; Muridae
Source: RNAcentral
UGGGAUGUCAUGGCUUGGGGUUAAUGUGG